RNAcentral lists this ribosomal RNA (459 nucleotides) under uncultured bacterium. Its description in RNAcentral is "partial 16S ribosomal RNA". It matches the Rfam family "Bacterial small subunit ribosomal RNA", at positions 338 to 795 of the family's 1533-position model. The record is from RNAcentral.
CCUACGGGAGGCAGCAGUGAGGAAUAUUGGUCAAUGGGAGAGAUCCUGAACCAGCCAAGCCGCGUGAGGGAAGACGGCCCUAUGGGUUGUAAACCUCUUUUGUCGGAGAACAAAACCCGGGACGUGUCCCGGACUGCGUGUAUCCGAAGAAAAAGCAUCGGCUAACUCCGUGCCAGCAGCCGCGGUAAUACGGAGGAUGCGAGCGUUAUCCGGAUUUAUUGGGGUUAAAGGGUGCGUAGGCGGUCCGUUAAGUCAGCGGGAAAAUUGCGGGGCUCAACCCCGUCGAGCCGUUGAAACUGGCAGACUUGAGUGGGCGAGAGGUACGCGGAAUGCGCGGUGUAGCGGUGAAAUGCAUAGAUAUCGCGCAGAACUCCGAUUGCGAAGGCAGCGUACCGGCGCCAGACUGACGCUGAGGCACGAAAGCGUGGGGAUCGAACAGGAUUAGAUACCCCAGUAGUC